GGGCCCGCACAAGCGGUGGAGCAUGUGGUUUAAUUCGAUGAUACGCGAGGAACCUUACCAGGGCUUAAAUGCAGUCUGACGUAUCUGGAAACAGAUAUUUCUUCGGACAGAUUGCAAGGUGCUGCAUGGUUGUCGUCAGCUCGUGCCGUGAGGUGUCAGGUUAAGUCCUAUAACGAGCGCAACCCCUGUGGUUAGUUGCCAGCGAGUAAUGUCGGGAACUCUAGCCAGACUGCCGGUGCAAACCGCGAGGAAGGUGGGGAUGACGUCAAAUCAUCACGGCCCUUACGUCCUGGGCUACACACGUGCUACAAUGGUAGGGACAGAGAGCAGCCACUGGGCGACCAGGAGCGAAUCUACAAACCCUAUCACAGUUCGGAUCGCAGUCUGCAACUCGACUGCGUGAAGCUGGAAUCGCUAGUAAUCG
RNAcentral lists this ribosomal RNA (424 nucleotides) under uncultured bacterium. RNAcentral describes it as "bacterial SSU rRNA". It matches the Rfam family "Bacterial small subunit ribosomal RNA", at positions 917 to 1344 of the family's 1533-position model. The record is from RNAcentral.